Molecule: transfer RNA, 88 nt
Filed under: Lactiplantibacillus plantarum
Lineage: Bacteria; Bacillati; Bacillota; Bacilli; Lactobacillales; Lactobacillaceae
Description: tRNA-OTHER
Rfam family: tRNA
About the family: Transfer RNA (tRNA) molecules are approximately 80 nucleotides in length. Their secondary structure includes four short double-helical elements and three loops (D, anti-codon, and T loops).
Source: RNAcentral
GCGAGCGUAGUUCAACGGUAGAACACUAACUUAGACUCUUCCCUUGAAAUUACUAUUACAGAUGCAGGUUCGACUCCUGCCGCUCGUG